RNAcentral lists this ribosomal RNA (510 nucleotides) under uncultured Diversisporaceae. Its description in RNAcentral is "SSU rRNA". It matches the Rfam family "Eukaryotic small subunit ribosomal RNA", at positions 569 to 1078 of the family's 1831-position model. Lineage: Eukaryota; Fungi; Glomeromycota; Glomeromycetes; Diversisporales. The record is from RNAcentral.
AGCAGCCGCGGUAAUUCCAGCUCCAAUAGCGUAUAUUAAAGUUGUUGCAGUUAAAAAGCUCGUAGUUGAAUUUCGGGAUUCGACCAUUGGUCAGGCUUAACUGUCUGUACUGGUGUGUCGGAUUUCUACCUUCUGAAGAACCUUCAUGCCAUUAAUUUGGUGUGUUGGGGAAUCAGGACUGUUACUUUGAAAAAAUUAGAGUGUUUAAAGCAGGCUAACGUCUGAAUACAUUAGCAUGGAAUAAUGAAAUAGGACGGUACGGUUCUAUUUUGUUGGUUUCUAGGAUCGCCGUAAUGAUUAAUAGGGAUAGUUGGGGGCAUUAGUAUUCAAUUGUCAGAGGUGAAAUUCUUGGAUUUAUUGAAGACUAACUACUGCGAAAGCAUUUGUCAAGGAUGUUUUCAUUAAUCAAGAACGAAAGUUAGGGGAUCGAAGACGAUCAGAUACCGUCGUAGUCUUAACCAUAAACUAUGUCGACUAGGGAUUGGACGAUGUUAAUUUUUUAAUGACUCG